Molecule: ribosomal RNA, 378 nt
Filed under: uncultured eukaryote
Lineage: Eukaryota
Description: partial 18S ribosomal RNA
Rfam family: Eukaryotic small subunit ribosomal RNA
Source: RNAcentral
CAAUAGCGUAUAUUUAAGUUGUUGCAGUUAAAAAGCUCGUAGUUGGAUUUCGGAUGGGACUUGCCGGUCCGUCGUUUCGAUGUGCACUGGCCAGUCCUAUCUUGUUGUCGGGGACUAGCUCCUUGGAUUCACUUCCUGGGACUAGGAGCUGACGAGGUUACUUUGAGUAAAUUAGAGUGUUCAAAGCAAGCCUACGCUCUGAAUACAUUAGCAUGGAAUAACACGAUAGGACUCUGGCUUAUCUUGUUGGUCUGUGAGACCAGAGUAAUGAUUAAGAGGGACAGUCGGGGACAUUCGUAUUUCAUUGUCAGAGGUGAAAUUCUUGGAUUUAUGAAAGACGAACUUCUGCGAAAGCAUUUGUCAAGGAUGUUUUCAUUA